UCUGGUGUCAGCCGCCGCGGUAAUACCAGCUCUCCGAGUGGUAGGGAUGAUUAUUGGGCUUAAAGCGUCCGUAGCCGGCUUAGCAAGUCUCCUGUUAAAUUCAGCGACCUAAUCGUUGAGCCGCGGGAGAUACUACUAGGCUAGGGGACGAGAGAGGCCGACGGUAUUUUCGGGGUAGGGGUGAAAUCCUAUAAUCCCGGGAAGACCACCAGUGGCGAAGGCUGUCGGCUAGAACGCGCCCGACGGUGAGGGAUGAAAGCUGGGGGAGCGAACCGGAUUAGAUACCCGGGUAGUCCCAGCUGUAAACGAUGCAGGCUAGGUGUUUGGGCGGCCACGGGCCGCUCUAGUGCCGCAGGGAAGCUGUUAA
RNAcentral lists this ribosomal RNA (367 nucleotides) under uncultured archaeon. RNAcentral describes it as "bacterial SSU rRNA". It matches the Rfam family "Archaeal small subunit ribosomal RNA", at positions 451 to 818 of the family's 1478-position model. The record is from RNAcentral.